RNAcentral lists this ribosomal RNA (1372 nucleotides) under uncultured bacterium. RNAcentral's name for it is "bacterial SSU rRNA". It matches the Rfam family "Bacterial small subunit ribosomal RNA", at positions 28 to 1381 of the family's 1533-position model. The record is from RNAcentral.
GAUGAACGCUGGCGGCGUGCCUAAUACAUGCAAGUCGAGCGAACGGACGAGAAGCUUGCUUCUCUGAUGUUAGCGGCGGACGGGUGAGUAACACGUGGAUAACCUGCCUAUAAGACCGGGAUAACUUCGGGAAACCGUAGCUAAUACCGGAUAAUAUUUUGAACCGCAUGGUUCAAAAGUGAAAGACGGUCUUGCUGUCACUUAUAGAUGGAUCCGCGCUGCAUUAGCUAGUUGGUAAGGUAACGGCUUACCAAGGCAACGAUGCAUAGCCGACCUGAGAGGGUGAUCGGCCACACUGGAACUGAGACACGGUCCAGACCCCUACGGGAGGCAGCAGUAGGGAAUCUUCCGCAAUGGGCGAAAGCCUGACGGAGCAACGCCGCGUGAGUGAUGAAGGUCUUCGGAUCGUANAACUCUGUUAUUAGGGAAGAACAUAUGUGUAAGUAACUGUGCACAUCUUGACGGUACCUAAUCAGAAAGCCACGGCUAACUACGUGCCAGCAGCCGCGGUAAUACGUAGGUGGCAAGCGUUAUCCGGAAUUAUUGGGCGUAAAGCGCGCGUAGGCGGUUUUUUAAGUCUGAUGUGAAAGCCCACGGCUCAACCGUGGAGGGUCAUUGGAAACUGGAAAACUUGAGUGCAGAAGAGGAAAGUGGAACUCCAUGUGUAGCGGUGAAAUGCGCAGAGAUAUGGAGGAACACCAGUGGCGAAGGCGACUUUCUGGUCUGUAACUGACGCUGAUGUGCGAAAGCGUGGGGAUCAAACAGGAUUAGAUACCCUGGUAGUCCACGCCGUAAACGAUGAGUGCUAAGUGUUAGGGGGUUUCCGCCCCUUAGUGCUGCAGCUAACGCAUUAAGCACUCCGCCUGGGGAGUACGACCGCAAGGUUGAAACUCAAAGGAAUUGACGGGGACCCGCACAAGCGGUGGAGCAUGUGGUUUAAUUCGAAGCAACGCGAAGAACCUUACCAAAUCUUGACAUCCUUUGACAACUCUAGAGAUAGAGCCUUCCCCUUCGGGGGACAAAGUGACAGGUGGUGCAUGGUUGUCGUCAGCUCGUGUCGUGAGAUGUUGGGUUAAGUCCCGCAACGAGCGCAACCCUUAAGCUUAGUUGCCAUCAUUAAGUUGGGCACUCUAAGUUGACUGCCGGUGACAAACCGGAGGAAGGUGGGGAUGACGUCAAAUCAUCAUGCCCCUUAUGAUUUGGGCUACACACGUGCUACAAUGGACAAUACAAAGGGCAGCGAAACCGCGAGGUCAAGCAAAUCCCAUAAAGUUGUUCUCAGUUCGGAUUGUAGUCUGCAACUCGACUACAUGAAGCUGGAAUCGCUAGUAAUCGUAGAUCAGCAUGCUACGGUGAAUACGUUCCCGGGUCU